Molecule: transfer RNA, 75 nt
Filed under: Candidatus Uhrbacteria bacterium CG_4_10_14_0_2_um_filter_41_21
Lineage: Bacteria; Candidatus Uhriibacteriota
Also listed under: 4 other names
Description: tRNA-Gly
Rfam family: tRNA
About the family: Transfer RNA (tRNA) molecules are approximately 80 nucleotides in length. Their secondary structure includes four short double-helical elements and three loops (D, anti-codon, and T loops).
Source: RNAcentral
GCGGCAAUAGUUCAGUGGUAGAACGCUUCCUUGCCAAGGAAGAGGUCGCCGGUUCGAGCCCGGUUUGCCGCUCCA